GUCCCAGUAGCUCAGUAGGAUAGAGCAACAGCCUUCUAAGCUGUGGGUCGGGCGUUCGAAUCGCUCCUGGGACGUCA
RNAcentral lists this transfer RNA (77 nucleotides) under Allobacillus salarius. RNAcentral describes it as "Allobacillus sp. SKP4-8 tRNA-Arg". It matches the Rfam family "tRNA". Rfam says of the family: Transfer RNA (tRNA) molecules are approximately 80 nucleotides in length. Their secondary structure includes four short double-helical elements and three loops (D, anti-codon, and T loops). Lineage: Bacteria; Bacillati; Bacillota; Bacilli; Caryophanales; Bacillaceae. The record is from RNAcentral.